This 250-nucleotide unclassified non-coding RNA is filed under the name Melitaea cinxia (Glanville fritillary). Its description in RNAcentral is "misc RNA ENSMCXG00005020450.1". The record is from RNAcentral. Lineage: Eukaryota; Metazoa; Arthropoda; Insecta; Lepidoptera; Nymphalidae.
CUUUCCAACAAAAAAUAAUUAUCAAAAUCGGUACAUCCAGUAGAAAGUUAUGCGGUAUAAUACAACGUAGGUCGACGAAAAAAGCGUCAAGUAAAAACGCAUUAUUAGAUAUAACUCGAAAAGUAAUUGUUAGAUCUCAAAUAAAUUUAAAUGGGACCAAUUGGCACACACCACCUUUCGAUUAAAACAAAAUUUGUCGAAAUCGGUCUACCCGGUCAAAAGUUCUGAUGUAACAUACAUAAAAAAAAAA